AUGAGUGCUUAUAUACUGUACCAAAAAAAUAAAAUAAAUAAAGGAUGUGUAUCCUGUUUUUGUGGUUUUCUGGGGGAUGUGGGUUAUGAGCAAAUUUGGGGGCUGGGUUGUAAAAACCCUUCAGUUUUACUCAGCAGCAGGUUUCAACCAGAUUCUCAUCACUAUCCAAGUUACUAAAAGACCAACAAUUGUAACUUUCAAGGUCUGUUGAGCAAAAAAAAUACAGAAGUGCCUAGUUGAAUCUCCAAUAUAAAAAAAACAUAUCUUUUGGUGGCUUCUGUAGGGGAGAAGAGCCUUUUUGCUAAGAAGAUUUUUGUGAAGAUAUCUAAUACAACAUGCAACGGUACCUUGUAAUUUGUGCUCUUCUGUUAUCUCUUAUGGCCAUGGUCCUUGGAAAAGAAUCUGCUGUCAACCAAGCGCAGAACUCAACAGAAAAAAUUCCUGGCAAUGGAGCUUCGGGGACCACAAUCAUGUUUCUCACCAUCCUAAUGUGUUCAUUCUGUCAUUUCAUCUUAAAGAAAUAAAAUACGGUGCUCCGAUGAUGAAGAUUAUGAAAUGUCAUCUCAUUCAGCACCAAGAGAGCUUUGAAUCUUACCAAGAACCCUUUAUACCAAUGAGCAGAAAGCAUGAAGACUCCAGAUAAAUGAUACCGAACCUUUCAAGAUAUAUUUUUCCAUAUCUUCCAUGGCUCUUUAGAUAUCUUGUUAAAUAAAAUGUGUUAACCCAAA
Long non-coding RNA from Rana temporaria (common frog), 728 nucleotides. RefSeq lists it as uncharacterized. The transcript has 2 exons. The record is from RefSeq and is a predicted model, not a curated record. NCBI's taxonomy places the organism in Eukaryota, Metazoa, Chordata, Amphibia, Anura, Ranidae.